GACGAACGCUGGCGGCGUGCUUAACACAUGCAAGUCGAACGGUGAAAGGGAGCUUGCUCCCUGGAUCAGUGGCGAACGGGUGAGUAACACGUGGGCAACCUGCCCCAGACUUCGGGAUAACGCUUCGAAAGAGGUGCUAAUACCGGAUACGAACUCCUUGGGCAUCCCUGGAGUUGGAAAGUUUUUCGGUCUGGGAUGGGCCCGCGGCCUAUCAGCUUGUUGGUGAGGUAACGGCUCACCAAGGCGACGACGGGUAGCCGGCCUGAGAGGGCGACCGGCCACACUGGGACUGAGACACGGCCCAGACUCCUACGGGUGGCUG
This 322-nucleotide ribosomal RNA is filed under the name uncultured Actinomycetes bacterium. Its description in RNAcentral is "bacterial SSU rRNA". It matches the Rfam family "Bacterial small subunit ribosomal RNA", at positions 28 to 351 of the family's 1533-position model. Lineage: Bacteria; Bacillati; Actinomycetota; Actinomycetes. The record is from RNAcentral.